GCUUUGUGGAUAGCUCAGUUGGUGGAGCAUGAGACUCUUAAUUUCUGGGCUGUGGGUUCAAGUCCACGUUGGGCA
Molecule: non-coding RNA, 75 nt
Organism: Podarcis lilfordi (Lilford's wall lizard)
Lineage: Eukaryota; Metazoa; Chordata; Lepidosauria; Squamata; Lacertidae
Source: the annotation of a GenBank genome assembly